CAGUCGCCGCGGGAAUACGAAGGGGGCUAGCGUUACUCGGAAUUACUGGGCGUAAAGGGCGCGUAGGCGGCACGAUUAGUCAGGCGUGAAAUUCCUGGGCUCAACCUGGGGACUGCGCUUGAUACGGUCGAGCUAGAGGAUGGAAGAGGGUCGUGGAAUUCCCAGUGUAGAGGUGAAAUUCGUAGAUAUUGGGAAGAACACCGGUGGCGAAGGCGGCGACCUGGUCCAUUACUGACGCUGAGGCGCGACAGCGUGGGGAGCAAACAGGAUUAGAUACCCCUGUAGUCCCUGUCUCUUAUAC
Molecule: ribosomal RNA, 301 nt
Filed under: uncultured bacterium
Lineage: Bacteria
Description: partial 16S ribosomal RNA
Rfam family: Bacterial small subunit ribosomal RNA
Source: RNAcentral